AUGAAAGAAUCUGAGGAACAACUCUCUGCAAGGGUUAUCAUAGAGAUUCUAAAUGAUCCAGAUUAUUUAAAGGUCUUUGGGCAUGACUAUGGCAACUUUGUUAUUCAAUCAGCUUUGUGGGCUUCCAAGGGACAUGCAAAUUUAGGUAUACACAAUGCUAUUCACUGUCUGAUUCGAAAGCAUUAUUCAUUUCUUCAAAGUUCUCCAUUUGGGAGAAGGAUUUUGAGUGCUGCAUCAAAAUGUCGCAGAAGUACUUGAUAUAUAUAUAUAUAUAGUUAUGUUGUAAGGACAUAAAAAUUAACUUUUCGUUCAUAUUUCCGGGAUAGAGUUGUGGUUAAAACUCGUAUUUAGAGUUUUUAACGUUGUUGUUGAUAUAAUUUUAGUUGUUUGUUGUUUUGUAUUAA
This is a long non-coding RNA of Gossypium arboreum, 404 nucleotides long. RefSeq lists it as uncharacterized. The transcript is spliced from 2 exons. The record is from RefSeq and is a predicted model, not a curated record. Lineage: Eukaryota; Viridiplantae; Streptophyta; Magnoliopsida; Malvales; Malvaceae.